CCUACGGGAGGCAGCAGUGAGGAAUAUUGGUCAAUGGCCGUAAGGCUGAACCAGCCAAGUCGCGUGAAGGAAGAAGGAUCUAUGGUUUGUAAACUUCUUUUAUAGGGGAAUAAAGGUAGCCACGCGUGGAUAUUUGCAUGUAUCCUAUGAAUAAGCAUCGGCUAACUCCGUGCCAGCAGCCGCGGUAAUACGGAGGAUGCGAGCGUUAGCCGGAUUGAUUGGGUUUAAAGGGUGCGUAGGUGGUUUUUUAAGUCAGCGGUGAAAGUUUGUGGCUCAACCAUAAAAUUGCCGUUGAAACUGGAAGACGUGAGUGUGUUUGAGGUAGGCGGAAUGCGUGGUGUAGCGGUGAAAUGCAUAGAUAUCACGCAGAACUCCGAUUGCGAAGGCAGCUUACUAAGCCAUAACUGACACUGAAGCACGAAAGCGUGGGGAUCAAACAGGAUUAGAUACCCCUGUAGUC
RNAcentral lists this ribosomal RNA (460 nucleotides) under uncultured bacterium. RNAcentral's name for it is "partial 16S ribosomal RNA". It matches the Rfam family "Bacterial small subunit ribosomal RNA", at positions 338 to 795 of the family's 1533-position model. The record is from RNAcentral.